Molecule: ribosomal RNA, 303 nt
Filed under: uncultured bacterium
Lineage: Bacteria
Description: partial 16S ribosomal RNA
Rfam family: Bacterial small subunit ribosomal RNA
Source: RNAcentral
AGCAGCAGCCGCGGGAACACAGAGGGUGCGAGCGUUAAUCGGAUUUACUGGGCGUAAAGCGUGCGUAGGCGGCUUCUUAAGUCGGAUGUGAAAUCCCUGAGCUUAACUUAGGAAUUGCAUUCGAUACUGGGAAGCUAGAGUAUGGGAGAGGAUGGUAGAAUUCCAGGUGUAGCGGUGAAAUGCGUAGAGAUCUGGAGGAAUACCGAUGGCGAAGGCAGCCAUCUGGCCUAAUACUGACGCUGAGGUACGAAAGCAUGGGGAGCAAACAGGAUUAGAUACCCCCGUAGUCCCUGUCUCUUAUAC